This 263-nucleotide ribosomal RNA is filed under the name uncultured bacterium. RNAcentral describes it as "partial 16S ribosomal RNA". It matches the Rfam family "Bacterial small subunit ribosomal RNA", at positions 793 to 1055 of the family's 1533-position model. The record is from RNAcentral.
GUCCACGCCGUAAACGAUGAAUGCUAGCCGUUGGGCAGCUUGCUGUUCAGUGGCGCAGCUAACGCAUUAAGCAUUCCGCCUGGGGAGUACGGCCGCAAGGUUGAAACUCAAAGGAAUUUACGGGGGCCCCGCACAAGCGGUGGAGCAUGUGGUUUAAUUCGACGCAACGCGCAGAACCUUACCAUGGUUUGACAUCCUGCGACCGCUCCGUAAUGGGAGUUUUCCCGCAAGGGACGCAGAGACAGGUGCUGCAUGGCUGUCGU